This 251-nucleotide ribosomal RNA is filed under the name uncultured prokaryote. RNAcentral describes it as "partial 16S ribosomal RNA". It matches the Rfam family "Bacterial small subunit ribosomal RNA", at positions 525 to 775 of the family's 1533-position model. The record is from RNAcentral.
ACGUAGGGUGCGAGCGUUAAUCGGAAUUACUGGGCGUAAAGCGUGCGCAGGCGGUUGGGCAAGACAGAUGUGAAAUCCCCGGGCUCAACCUGGGAACUGCAUUUGUGACUGGAAGACUGGAGUGCGCCAGAGGGGGAUGGAAUUCCGCGUGUAGCAGUGAAAUGCGUAGAUAUGCGGAGGAGCACCGAUGGCGAAGGCAAUCCCCUGGGCCUGCACUGACGCUCAUGCACGAAAGCGUGGGGAGCAAACAG